RNAcentral lists this ribosomal RNA (495 nucleotides) under uncultured bacterium. RNAcentral's name for it is "partial 16S ribosomal RNA". It matches the Rfam family "Bacterial small subunit ribosomal RNA", at positions 28 to 507 of the family's 1533-position model. The record is from RNAcentral.
GACGAACGCUGGCGGCGUGCCUAAUACAUGCAAGUAGAACGGUAAAGCAGUAGCUUGCUUCUCUGGAUGAGUGGCGAACGGGUGAGUAACGCGUAGGUAACCUGCCUUGUAGCGGGGGAUAACUAUUGGAAACGAUAGCUAAUACCGCAUAAUAGUAGAUGUUGCAUGACAUUUGCUUGAAAGUUGCAAUUGCAUCACUACCAGAUGCACCUGCGUUGUAUUAGCUUGUGGGUGGGGUAACGGCUCCCCAAGGCGACGAUACAUAGCCGACGUGAGAGGGGGGUUGGCCCCACUGGGACUGUGACACGGCACAGACUCCUUCGGGAGGCAGCCGUAGGGAAUCUUCGGCCAUGGGCGGAAGUCUGACCGCGACACGCCGAGGGAGUGAAGAAGGUCUUCGGGUCGUAAAGCUCUGUUUUCAGGGAAGAACGAGUGUGAGAGUGGAACGUUGACACUGUGACGGUAUCUUACCAGAAAGAAACGGCUAACUACGUG